Molecule: ribosomal RNA, 119 nt
Filed under: Lepisosteus oculatus (spotted gar)
Lineage: Eukaryota; Metazoa; Chordata; Actinopteri; Semionotiformes; Lepisosteidae
Source: RNAcentral
GCCAGCAGCCAUAUCACUCUGCAACUCACAACUGGCAACCCACUGAAGCUCAGCAGGUGUGAGCCUGGUCAGUACUUGGAUGGGAUGCCUUCUGGGAAAAACUAAGGUUGCUGCUGGAA